This 247-nucleotide unclassified non-coding RNA is filed under the name uncultured Nocardioidaceae bacterium. Its description in RNAcentral is "contains 16S-23S intergenic spacer region". The record is from RNAcentral. Lineage: Bacteria; Bacillati; Actinomycetota; Actinomycetes; Propionibacteriales; Nocardioidaceae.
UAGGUUUGACAUAUAGAGAAAACUUACAUCUCUGUAAGUUUUCUCUAUAUGUCAAACCUAGGUAAGGUUCUUCGCGUUGCAUCGAAUUAAUCAGCAUGCUCCGCCGCUUGUGCGGGCCCCCGUCAAUUCCUUUGAGUUUUAGCCUUGCGGCCGUACUCCCCAGGCGGGGCGCUUAAUGCGUUAGCUGCGGCACGGAAACCGUGGAAGGUCCCCACACCUAGCGCCCAACGUUUACGGCAUGGACUAC